CCUAACACAUGCAAGUCGAACGGCAGCACAGUCGUAGCAAUACGAUGGGUGGCGAGUGGCGGACGGGUGAGGAAUACAUCGGGACCUACCUAGACGUGGGGGAUAACGUAGGGAAACUUACGCUAAUACCGCAUACGUCCUACGGGAGAAAGCGGGGGAUCUUCGGACCUCGCGCGGUUAGACGGACCGAUGUUCGAUUAGCUAGUUGGUGGGGUAACGGCUUACCAAGGCGACGAUCGAUAGCUGGUCUGAGAGGAUGAUCAGCCACACUGGGACUGAGACACGGCCCAGACUCCUACGGGAGGCAGCAGUGGGGAAUAUUGGACAAUGGGCGCAAGCCUGAUCCAGCAAUGCCGCGUGUGUGAAGAAGGCCUUCGGGUUGUAAAGCACUUUUACCAGGAGCGAAAUACCAUCGGCUAAUACCCCGGUGGGGCUGACGGUACCUGAGGAAUAAGCACCGGCUAACUUCGUGCCAGCAGCCGCGGUAAUACGAAGGGUGCAAGCGUUAAUCGGAAUUACUGGGCGUAAAGCGUGCGUAGGCGGUGAGUUAAGUCUGCUGUGAAAUCCCCGGGCUCAACCUGGGA
Molecule: ribosomal RNA, 584 nt
Filed under: uncultured Gammaproteobacteria bacterium
Lineage: Bacteria; Pseudomonadati; Pseudomonadota; Gammaproteobacteria
Description: bacterial SSU rRNA
Rfam family: Bacterial small subunit ribosomal RNA
Source: RNAcentral